GUGCCAGCAGCCGCGGUAAAACCAGCACCUCAAGUGGUCAGGAGGAUUAUUGGGCCUAAAGCAUCCGUAGCCUGCUGUAUAAGUUCUCGGUUAAAUCCAUACGCUCAACGUAUGGGCUGCCGGGAAUACUGUACAGCUAGGGAGUGGGAGAGGUAGACGGUACUCGGUAGGAAGGGGUAAAAUCCUUUGAUCUAUUGAUGACCACCUGUGGCGAAGGCGGUCUACCAGAACACGUUCGACGGUGAGGGAUGAAAGCUGGGGGAGCAAACCGGAUUAGAUACCCGGGUAGUCCCAGCUGUAAACUAUGCAAACUAAGUGAUGCGUUGGCUUGUGGCCAGCGCAGUGCCUCAGGGAAGCCGUUAAGUUUGCCGCCUGGGAAGUACGUACGCAAGUAUGAAACUCAAAUGAAUUGACGG
This 416-nucleotide ribosomal RNA is filed under the name uncultured bacterium. RNAcentral's name for it is "bacterial SSU rRNA". It matches the Rfam family "Archaeal small subunit ribosomal RNA", at positions 455 to 871 of the family's 1478-position model. The record is from RNAcentral.